This 306-nucleotide unclassified non-coding RNA is filed under the name plant metagenome. RNAcentral describes it as "partial contains 5.8S ribosomal RNA, internal transcribed spacer 2, and large subunit ribosomal RNA". The stretch from base 1 to 105 matches the Rfam family "5.8S ribosomal RNA", at positions 50 to 154 of the family's 154-position model. The record is from RNAcentral.
GAAAUGCGAUAAGUAAUGUGAAUUGCAGAAUUCAGUGAAUCAUCGAAUCUUUGAACGCACAUUGCGCCCGCCAGUAUUCUGGCGGGCAUGCCUGUCCGAGCGUCAUUUCAACCAUCAAGCCCCCGGGCUUGUGUUGGGGACAUGCGGCUGCCCGCAGGCCCUGAAAACCAGUGGCGGGCUCGCUGUCACACCGAGCGUAGUAGCAAUCACCUCGCUCAGGGCGUGCUGCGGGUUCCGGCCGUUAAACAGCCUUACAAAACCCAAGGUUGACCUCGGAUCAGGUAGGAAGACCCGCUGAACUUAAGC